CCUACGGGAGGCAGCAGUAGGGAAUCUUCCACAAUGGGCGCAAGCCUGAUGGAGCAACGCCGCGUGGGUGAAGAAGGUCUUCGGAUCGUAAAACCCUGUUGUUAGAGAAGAAAGUGCGUGAGAGUAUCUGUUCACGUUUCGUAGGUAUAUAACCAGAAAGCCACGGCUAACUACGUGCCAGCAGCCGAGGUAAUACGUAGGUGGCAAGCGUUAUCCGGAUUUAUUUGACGUAAAGGGAACGCAGGCGGUCUUUUAAGGCUUAUGUGAAAGCGUUCGGCUUAACCGGAGUAGUGCAUUGGAAACUGGGAGACUUGAGUGCAGAAGAGGAGAGUGGAACUCCAGGUGUAGCGGUGAAAUGCGUAGAUAUAUGGAAGAACACCAGUGGCGAAAGCGGCUCUCUGGUCUGUAACUGACGCUGAGGUUCGAAAGCGUGGGUAGCAAACAGGAUUAGAUACCCCAGUAGUC
RNAcentral lists this ribosomal RNA (465 nucleotides) under uncultured bacterium. Its description in RNAcentral is "partial 16S ribosomal RNA". It matches the Rfam family "Bacterial small subunit ribosomal RNA", at positions 338 to 795 of the family's 1533-position model. The record is from RNAcentral.